Non-coding RNA from Egretta garzetta (little egret), 1403 nucleotides. The record is from the annotation of a RefSeq genome assembly. Lineage: Eukaryota; Metazoa; Chordata; Aves; Pelecaniformes; Ardeidae.
AUGCGAAGUGAUCUGGAUAACGGGAUCAAGUGUAGCCUGGUGUGGUUUGCAGAUAGCACCAAACUGAUUGGGGAAGGAGACUCUCUGGAAGGGAGAGCCACCGUGCAGGAAGAUGUGGAUAGGCUGGAAGAGGGACCCUCGGGUAGUGUAAAGAAGUAUGGGUCAGCAGUGGAGGGUCGAGCCACGGUGUCCCGGGACAAUUCGCAGUCCAGUUCGACUCUGUCCCUGCGUGCCCUGCCCCCCCGGGACUCUGCCCGCUACUUCUGUGCUGUGCACACGGGGACAGGAAUGUGUGUUACUGCUGGUCUUGUCUUCGGGAAGGGGACUCAACUGACUGUGGAACCAAACAAUCAAAUUAGUUCUGUCCCGGAAGUCAUUGUGAUGAAAUCAAACAAACAGAAAGAAGAUGGCAGCACUGGGAAAGCAGCUUGUUUGGCAAGGAAUUUCAAUACAAAGGAAAUCGACUUAGAGAUGUCCCCUAAUGACAUUGUAUACGAACAGAGUACACCCAUUUUGACAUCAGAGGGGUACGAUACUCUUAAGGUGGUCAAUGUGAGCAAAGACACAGAGGUGACCUGCAUGGCCAGCUUCAAGGGCAGGAAUAUUACAGCCAAUGCCACGUUGCCAGAAAAGGAGGCUGAAGAACCAGUAAGAAAGAAGGUUUGCAACACCACAGGCACCUCUGUACAAGCUGAUACCAAAGUGGAGAAAGUGAACAUGCUGUCUAUGGCUGUGCUGGGUUUGAGAGUCCUGCUGGCAAAAAGUAUCGCCUUCAAUACGCUCAUGAGUAUCAAGUUGUUUCUUUUCUGAGGUGGUGGGGAAGCAAGACAACAGGAAUCUGAAGAACAGCAAGAGAGAACAUGUACCAGCAACACAAUAGGUUGAACAGCCAAUGUCAAAUCUGCUGACGAUAACCAUCCAGAAUACAACACAGCACCUUCCCUUUAAGACAUUUUAUAAUGCUGAAUCCUGCCUAGCUAGUUUAUGUAGUAAGAGUUGUAACUGCUUUUGCUAUUUCUUUUUCUCUGUGAACUGAGGAGAGUGCAUUUUUCCUCACCCACCUGCAAGUAGAAACUGAUCUCCCCACUCUUCUAACCUUUGCAUAGAAGCAUCCAACAUGCUUCAAUAGUUCUGAAAACUCCAAACCUCACUAUAGCUAUAUGACCCUUUUAAAACACCUUUGACAGGCUGAUGUAUGAGUACUUAGAGAAUUCAGGCACAGCAGAUGCUAUUUAAAGCUUUAAUGUUUUUUAGAUAGCUUUAAUAACAAUAGUUUUCUAGCUUAGAUAAGAAGACCUGUGUUGGAUCUGAAGUGAUUCACUUCACAGAUAAUGUUCAGCCAUAGAAACAUUGUUAUUUGCAUUUCGUUAUUAAACCUGUAUUUCUUCUGCAAAGUGUAUUGC